ACAAGUGUUUGCUAACAAAUCGGCCAUAGCAUGAGGUGAUAAGUGAUAUGAUAAAAAGUGGGAAGAAGAUGAGC
Molecule: non-coding RNA, 74 nt
Organism: Caenorhabditis elegans
Lineage: Eukaryota; Metazoa; Nematoda; Chromadorea; Rhabditida; Rhabditidae
Source: Ensembl